UAAAAUAAAAUCAAAGGAACUUGUUUUUUAAUCGAUAAUACUCGAUAAAUUUCACUAUUUUUAUAUAGCUUAUAUACCUCCGUAUAAACUUUCUUUACAUAAUUUGUUAUAAUCCCAUUAUAAAUAUCUCAGGUCAAGGUGUAGCCCAUAAUGUAGAUAAAAUAAGUUACUAUAAAAGCUAUUUAUGGAAAUAAGCUAAAUUUAAAUAAAACAGGAUUUAACUACAAUAAUUUAAUAAUAAUAAAUUAUGAAUUUCAUUUAAAC
RNAcentral lists this ribosomal RNA (264 nucleotides) under Harpactocrates globifer. RNAcentral describes it as "partial 12S ribosomal RNA". Lineage: Eukaryota; Metazoa; Arthropoda; Arachnida; Araneae; Dysderidae. The record is from RNAcentral.